GGCCGCGUCGACCUGGCUCAGGAUGAACGCUGGCGGCGUGCCUAACACAUGCAAGUCGAGCGAUCUUCUUCGGAAGAGAGCGGCGACGGGUGAGUAACGCGUGGGUAACCUGCCCUGUACACACGGAUAACAUACCGAAAGGUAUGCUAAUACGAGAUGAUAUAUAAAAGUUGCAUGACUUUUAUAUCGAAGCUUUUGCGGUACAGGAUGGGACCCGCGUCUGAUUAGCUAGUUGGUAAGGUAACGGCUUACCAAGGCGACGAUCAGUAGCCGACCUGAGAGGGUGAUCGGCCACACUGGAACUGAGACACGGUCCAGACUCCUACGGGAGGCAGCAGUGGGGAAUCUUCCGCAAUGGACGAAAGUCUGACGGA
This 374-nucleotide ribosomal RNA is filed under the name uncultured bacterium. Its description in RNAcentral is "bacterial SSU rRNA". It matches the Rfam family "Bacterial small subunit ribosomal RNA", at positions 1 to 390 of the family's 1533-position model. The record is from RNAcentral.